GUACAAGCCUCACUAAGGUGAAACCGCGAAUGGCUCAUUAAAUCACACCUAAUCUACUGGAUAGUUAACAGUUACUUGGAUAACUGCGGUAAUUCUGGAGCUAAUACAUGCACAAAGCCCCGAACUUACGUGAGGGGCGCUUUUAUUAGAUCAAAACCAAACGGCUUCGGCUGUUCUCUUGGUGACUCUGAAUAACUUUGGGCUGAUCGCAUAGCCUAGCGCUGGCGACAUAUCCUUCGAAGGUGUGCCCUAUCAACUGUCGACUGUGGCAUAGACGCCCACAGUGGUUUUGACGGGUAACGGGGAAUCAGGGUUCGAUUCCGGAGAGGGAGCCUUAAAAACGGCUACCACAUCUAAGGAAGGCAGCAGGCACGCAAAUUACCCAAUGACCGAAGGUCGAGGUAGUGACGAAAAAUAACGAUACGGGACUCAUCUGAGGCCCCGUAAUCGGAAUGAGUACACUUUAAAACCGUCCCCGAGGAUCUAUUGGAGGGCAAGUCUGGUGCCAGCAGCCGCGGUAAUUCCAGCUCCAAUAGCGUAUAUUAAAGUUGUUGUGGUUAAAAAGCUCGUAGUUGGAUCUCGGCGGUCUGAGGGCGGUUCACUUGCUAGUGCUACUGCCCUAUAGACCGUAGUUUUGCCAGAGGUCUCAGGGUGCUCUUAAUCGAGUGUCUUGUGAUGCUGGCAGGUUUACUUUGAAAAAAUUAGAGUGCUCAAAGCAGGCUUUUACGCCUGAAUAUUCGUGCAUGGAAUAAUAGAAUAGGAAGUCGUUUCUAUUUUGUUGGUUUUCGGAAAUCGACUUAAUGAUUAAUAGGGACAGUCGGGGGCAUUUGUAUUCAAACGACAGAGGUGAAAUUCUUGGACCGUUUGAAGACAAACUACUGCGAAAGCAUUUGCCAAGAAUGUUUUCAUUAAUCAAGAACGAAAGUUAGAGGUUCGAAGGCGAUUAGAUACCGCCCUAGUUCUAACCAUAAACGAUGCCAGCUAGCGAUCUGCCGACGUUUUUUUUGUAGACUCGGCAGGAAGCUUCCGGGAAACCAAAGCAUUUGGGUUCCAGGGGAAGUAUGGUUGCAAAGCU
Molecule: ribosomal RNA, 1075 nt
Filed under: Euchirella amoena
Lineage: Eukaryota; Metazoa; Arthropoda; Copepoda; Calanoida; Aetideidae
Description: SSU rRNA
Rfam family: Eukaryotic small subunit ribosomal RNA
Source: RNAcentral